CGCCGAGAGAUAGCGAUUCAUCACCUUGACCAGCCCCUGCGGCGUCGUCCCCCGGCUGGUGCUGCUGAAUCCCUUCACAUCGCAGAACAGCACGGUCAUGACGCGGCGCUGCCCUUCGGACGCCAGCNNNNNNNNUCAGUCCCUCGACCACGCGCGGGUCGAUAUACUUGCCGAAGGUUUCGCGGAUACGCUCCUUGAGACGGAGCUGUUCGACCAUGCUGUUGAACGCGGUGGUGAGCUGGCCGAUU
This 248-nucleotide unclassified non-coding RNA is filed under the name Hevea brasiliensis (rubber tree). The record is from RNAcentral. Lineage: Eukaryota; Viridiplantae; Streptophyta; Magnoliopsida; Malpighiales; Euphorbiaceae.